GUCCACGCCGUAAACGAUGUCUACUAGCCGUUGGGUUCCUUGAGGACUUAGUGGCGCAGCUAACGCAAUAAGUAGACCGCCUGGGGGAGUACGGUCGCAAGAUUAAAACUCAAAUGAAUUGACUGGGGCCCGCACAAGCGGUGGAGCAUGUGGUUUAAUUCGACGCAACGCGAAGAACCUUACCAGGUCUUGACAUCCAGAGAACUUUCCAGAGAUGGAUUGGUGCCUUCGGGAGCUCUGAGACAGGUGCUGCAUGGCUGUCGU
This 264-nucleotide ribosomal RNA is filed under the name uncultured bacterium. RNAcentral describes it as "partial 16S ribosomal RNA". It matches the Rfam family "Bacterial small subunit ribosomal RNA", at positions 793 to 1055 of the family's 1533-position model. The record is from RNAcentral.